RNAcentral lists this ribosomal RNA (857 nucleotides) under uncultured beta proteobacterium. RNAcentral's name for it is "bacterial SSU rRNA". It matches the Rfam family "Bacterial small subunit ribosomal RNA", at positions 66 to 916 of the family's 1533-position model. The record is from RNAcentral. Lineage: Bacteria; Pseudomonadati; Pseudomonadota; Betaproteobacteria.
GCAGCACGGAGAGCUUGCUCUCUGGUGGCGAGUGGCGAACGGGUGAGUAAUAUAUCGGAACGUAUCCAAUAAUGGGGGAUAACGAGUCGAAAGAUUCGCUAAUACCGCAUACGCCCUACGGGGGAAAGCAGGGGAUCGUAAGACCUUGCGUUAAUGGAGCGGCCGAUAUCUGAUUAGCUUGUUGGUGAGGUAAAGGCUCACCAAGGCGACGAUCAGUAGCUGGUUUGAGAGAACGACCAGCCACACUGGAACUGAGACACGGUCCAGACUCCUACGGGAGGCAGCAGUGGGGAAUUUUGGACAAUGGGGGCAACCCUGAUCCAGCCAUUCCGCGUGAGUGAAGAAGGCCUUCGGGUUGUAAAGCUCUUUCGCAAGGGAAGAAAACUUAUGAUCGAAUAAAUCAUGAGGUUGACGGUACCUUGAUAAGAAGCACCGGCUAACUACGUGCCAGCAGCCGCGGUAAUACGUAGGGUGCGAGCGUUAAUCGGAAUUACUGGGCGUAAAGCGUGCGCAGGCGGUUUUGUAAGUCGGAUGUGAAAUCCCCGGGCUCAACCUGGGAACUGCGUUCGAAACUGCAAGGCUAGAGUGUGUCAGAGGGGGGUAGAAUUCCACGUGUAGCAGUGAAAUGCGUAGAGAUGUGGAGGAAUACCAAUGGCGAAGGCAGCCCCCUGGGAUAACACUGACGCUCAUGCACGAAAGCGUGGGGAGCAAACAGGAUUAGAUACCCUGGUAGUCCACGCCCUAAACGAUGUCAACUAGUUGUUGGUAGAGUAAAAUCUAUGAGUAACGUAGCUAACGCGUGAAGUUGACCGCCUGGGGAGUACGGUCGCAAGAUUAAAACUCAAAGGAAUUGACGG